ACCAAUGACCUCACUGUUGGUGGAUUUUUAGAAAAUCAUGAGGAGCCAAGAGAUAAAGAACAAUGUGCUGAAGAGAACAUACCAGCAUCUUCACUCAACAAAGGAAAGAAAUUGAUGCAUUGCAGAAGCCAUGAAGAGGUCAAUACUGAACUAAAAGCACAAAUAAUGAAAGAGAUCCGAAAGCCAGGAAGAAAAUAUGAAAGAAUCUUCACUUUACUGAAGCAUGUGCAAGGCAGUUUACAAACAAGACUAAUAUUUUUACAAAAUGUCAUUAAAGAAGCAUCAAGGUUUAAAAAACGAAUGCUAAUAGAACAACUGGAGAACUUCUUGGAUGAAAUUCAUCGAAGAGCCAAUCAGAUCAACCAUAUUAAUAGCAAUUAAAAGAAAAUAGAAUGUGGCCACUUAUUUCACUAUCUUCUUCAAAUACAAAAUGGGAAAAUCAAGACUUAAAGAGUUUAAGAAACUUGCCCAAGAUGACAUAAUGAGUAUGUGAUGGACCUCGAUUCAAAUCAAGCCUGUGUGUGUGCAGAGCCCAUGCUCUAGUCACCUACAUUUUGCUACCUCCCAUCUCGUGUGGCAUCUCACAUAUAGUAGGUGCAGAAAAGAGGCUGUUGACUAAUUGCCUUAUUGACAAUUAAUAGAGUAUUUUAUUUAAUAGAGUGUUUAUACUGGAUAAAAUAUAUUUUCAUA
RNAcentral lists this long non-coding RNA (690 nucleotides) under Homo sapiens (human). Its description in RNAcentral is "non-protein coding lnc-INTS6-3:1". Lineage: Eukaryota; Metazoa; Chordata; Mammalia; Primates; Hominidae. The record is from RNAcentral.